AGCGAGGCUAGAGUCACACCUUGGCGUUGUGUUGUUGUCCUGGUGUGCUAGAGCACUCGCAGAAUAACGUCUCUGCUUAUUCGUUGGCUGUCGUCUCCAGUGGUUCAGCCAAUCACCAGCUUAGACACACGA
Small nucleolar RNA from Hippocampus comes (tiger tail seahorse), 132 nucleotides. NCBI's taxonomy places the organism in Eukaryota, Metazoa, Chordata, Actinopteri, Syngnathiformes, Syngnathidae. The record is from Ensembl.